Non-coding RNA from Rhizopogon salebrosus TDB-379, 98 nucleotides. NCBI's taxonomy places the organism in Eukaryota, Fungi, Basidiomycota, Agaricomycetes, Boletales, Rhizopogonaceae. The record is from the annotation of a GenBank genome assembly.
GGUAGCGUGGCCGAGUUGGUCUAAGGCGUUGGAUUUAAGAAUUGAUUCUGAAUCCCAAUGGGCGAAAGUCCGCGCGAGUUCGAACCUCGCCGCUACCA